GCGCUCUCUUUCCCCUUUUUCUCUCCCUCGUGCUCUCCUUUCCUCGCCGCCGCCACUCCAUCCUAGCUGCCUCCUCUCCUCGUCGAACCAGCUGCCUCCUCCCCAUCUUCACGCGCAGCCUCCUCUCCCUCAAGCCCCGCCUCCUUCCCACCCUGGCUUCGCCUCUUCGGGGGGCGGGACGCAGUGGCUGUGGUGAUGGCAGAUGGGGCGACAACGGCGGCGCUCCUCCUCUCCCAUGGCGGUCGGCGGCGCUUUGGCCGUGGAGGCCUGCUCCUCAUGCUCCUCUGAUAUGCCUCUUCGCCCCUGCCGAGGACGGCGGUGAGGGGCAAAGGGACGCUGUCGUUCUCCCCCCUCAGCGCGUGCGUCAGAGACGGACGAGGAAGCCGAGCAGUCCGUCAUGCCGUCGACGCCGUCCUCUCCUACCAAGGUCUGGAUUCUCCUCCCCCUUCCCUCAUGGCGGCGCCUGGAUCCUCCUCCCUCUUCGCUUCCAUGGCGGCACCCGGACCUGCCGCAUCUUCCUCAUCGUCAGUCCAAGGGAGAGGAGUGGCAGCAGCCAGACACGCCUCGUCCGUGUCGCGUGGUGUCCCAGAUGCGUCCGCCCCGUGCUCUGCCGAUGCCUGUCUCACCCGUCUACGGCCGAAGGAGGGGAGGACUGGAUGCCAACCGAUCUGGAGGAAGAAGCGGACACCCGGACGAAAUCGACGGCGAGAUGCUUGGUGACAUCCCUGGAUAGGCUUCGUGGUGGAGGGCGCUUCGUGGUGGAGGGCACGGCCUCCGCUGCCGGGUGCAUUAUGAGGCACUCGAGGGGUAGGGUCGCUUGCAGCGCAGGUGCCCGUCGUGUGUCCCAGCGGGGCACUUGAUGCAGCUGCAGCAGGCCGGCAAGUUUGGCUGAUUUCAACACUCAAGGUAAAUUAUCAUAACCAUGGAAUGACACAUACUGAUCUCAGCCUGGAGAAUGUUCAUGUAAGGGCCAGUACACAAGCAUGUCUACUUUGCCAUAUGGAUGGUGGAUUUAGAGGACAAAUUUAUGCACCAGCUUUGAGUUCCAUGAUGUUGCGCCGACUAUGUGGAACCCAAUGAUUCAUAGUGAUGUAUUUUCUUCUUCGAGAGAGAGGACUGUGCAAUCAGAAGUACAAUAUGUGAUCAUCAAGUGUAAGAGAUGGCAAGAAUAUGUGGGUACAGAUGCGGCGGCGACAACGUCGACUUCGGUGAGAUGGCUGGUGGACCAAGGACCAAUCCUGCAUUUGCUUUAUAAUAUGAAGUAAUGUCGAUGUGUGAUGUUAACAUCAUGGUUAUCUACAGAUGUAUGGGUACGCUCCGUUUAUGGUCGUCUCUAUAACGUGUGGAGUAUCGAGACCUGUUUACGGAGUCCGCCGUGAUGGAAAACGUUAAUAUUCCAACAAAAGUGCUUCCGGAUGCUACGAUGAGAGAGCUUGGCCUUCCAAGCGCAGCUUACUCAACACACAAGGCAAGGACCUCGAGGCAAGUGUUUAAUUCUAUCCAUUGAGUACCAGCUAAAUAAUGAACUUGCAAAGACAUUAAUAUCCAUCUAUGUCUAUGAAACUGGAUGAGUCUGAAGAUUGGCUGGCAGACGAACCUCUUAAAUACAUGGAAGCCUCUUACAACAAAGUGCUGCAAGACAUCAACUAUGAUAAGUUGCAGUUGGUUCAACAAAAAGUAAAUCUCUGGAACACGAGCUGAAAGAAAAAGAUGGAAUCAUAGACUAUCUGAGCAGCAGCUGGUGGAUGAUGUCUAUGGAAGGCAUUUCUGCUUUUGCCAAUUACAACCCGCCGAAACACACCCACCAUGAAGAGCAGCUUAGAUGAUGAGGUCAUUUUCGACACGGCUGGUACAGGCUCUACCUGAUCUAAAUACUGCAUAUCUUAGUUACCAUAAGCUAGGUGACCAAAGCUAUCUAUAUGAUGCAUGUCUGUCUAUCAGCUAAUCUCAUCCCUUUCUUUUGGCCUAUGUUCUUAUUUGACAAAGCUGAAGGAAGCACGUCCAGAUUAGUUCUCUGGAUGGUGAGGUUAGAUUAAUUGACCACUAUUUCUAUUUAACUUCUCCUGUACACAAUAUUCACAAGUUCAUGUAUUAAGUACAUUUUAUUGUGUCACUUGUGUUUACUCCUUUUUUAAUGCAAGUUUACAGCUACUCGGAGUUCCUAAUUGCAGACUCAACUAUCUUGACCUACCGAUGAUCUAAUUUGUGGCAUUAAUUAUUACCUUAAGAAAAUAUUUGCAUUUAAUUUCACUUAUAUAUAGGGGUAUAAGUUCUUACCAAAUGUACUCAAAUAUACAAUUACUGAAAAAAUGCAAAUAUUUUCAACACGAACAUGGUUUUAAACGGGUCUUUGCGCCAUUUGGCGCAACUGGUCAUCUAGUAGAGCAAACCAUCCAGGGUCCCUUCGGUGCAGUAAUCAUCUCUGAAUAGGUGAGUACAGCUUCAGCUUCAGCUGCAUGCUAGGUGUUUGUUGUUUGCUUUAGCAGUGCUUUGGUUGCUGCAAAUCUAGCAAGUUGCCUGACAGCUCCAUAUCUCAUCGUCUGCAUGAUUUCAGCAUCGCAUGUGACAGCCAUUCCUGGUAUCUCCAUUGCAUUUUCCUAUGGGCCAACCAGUUGGUAACCAUCAGGGCCAGAAUGGCAUCAGGUCCAUCUCUAUGGAGCUGUCACUAGUUCAUGUCACUAUUUUUGUUUUCUGGUGGCUUUUGUUCAUGGACUGCAGUAAUGUAAGUUGCAGCGCAGGGCUCACUUUGUUAGUACCUGAAGUUUACUUGUAUUGUCCAUGACAGUGACUUAAUGAUGAGGGCAUCUCAGUACCUCAUGUUGUUCCCAUGAAGGAGGAGGUGAAGCCCAACUUCAGGACUCCUCCAAGUUAGAGGUGUGCCAAAGGGGGUGACCGAACCAUGUACUUGGUCGGUUCUAGUUUUAUCUAUUUUUAUUUCCAAGUCUUGUUAUGGGCCACUUAGGAUUUUUAUUUUGUGUAUUUCGGUGUGGGCCUGUCCAACCGAUUAGUUUUCUAGAUGCCUAUAUAAGGAGGCUAGUGGCUAGGUUUAGAGGGGGUGAAAUUUUUAGAUUGAGUUUUGAACAUUGUGUCCACGUGGUGAAUCAUCCCUCCGGGGACGGCGCUGCUAUUUAUCAAAUAAAGUGAUGAUUGCAUGAA
Long non-coding RNA from Triticum dicoccoides, 3156 nucleotides. RefSeq lists it as uncharacterized. The transcript has 5 exons. The record is from RefSeq and is a predicted model, not a curated record. NCBI's taxonomy places the organism in Eukaryota, Viridiplantae, Streptophyta, Magnoliopsida, Poales, Poaceae.